AACGCACCUUGCGCUCCCUGGUAUUCCUAGGAGCAUGCCUGUUUGAGUGUCGUGAACUUAUCAACCCCAUAAAGAUUUUGGUCUCUAUGGUGGCUUGGACUUGGGGGCUUGCUGGCCAUUAAUUUGGUCGGCUCUCCUUAAAUGCAUUAGCUUUGGACUUGUUCUGUAGGCUGCUUGGCGUGAUAAUUAUCUACGCUUUGCAAUCGUCUGUGGAAUAUUAUGGGUCUAGCUUCUAAUCGUCCUCUGGACACUAUUCAUUCGUUUUGACCUCAAAUCAGGUAGGACUACCCGCUGAACUUAA
This 301-nucleotide unclassified non-coding RNA is filed under the name uncultured fungus. Its description in RNAcentral is "sequence contains ITS2". Lineage: Eukaryota; Fungi. The record is from RNAcentral.